GAUGAACGCUGGCGGCGUGCCUAAUACAUGCAAGUCGAGCGAACAGACGAGGAGCUUGCUCCUCUGACGUUAGCGGCGGACGGGUGAGUAACACGUGGAUAACCUACCUAUAAGACUGGGAUAACUUCGGGAAACCGGAGCUAAUACCGGAUAAUAUAUUGAACCGCGUGGUUCAAUAGUGAAAGACGGUUUUGCUGUCACUUAUAGAUGGAUCCGCGCCGCAUUAGCUAGUUGGUAAGGUAACGGCUUACCAAGGCAACGAUGCGUAGCCGACCUGAGAGGGUGAUCGGCCACACUGGAACUGAGACACGGUCCAGACUCCUACGGGAGGCAGCAGUGGGGAAUCUUCCGCAAUGGGCGAAAGCCUGACGGAGCAACGCCGCGUGAGUGAUGAAGGUCUUCGGAUCGUAAAACUCUGUUAUUAGGGAAGAACAAAUGUGUAAGUAACUAUGCACGUCUUGACGGUACCUAAUCAGAAAGCCACGGCUAACUACGUG
Molecule: ribosomal RNA, 497 nt
Filed under: uncultured bacterium
Lineage: Bacteria
Description: partial 16S ribosomal RNA
Rfam family: Bacterial small subunit ribosomal RNA
Source: RNAcentral